RNAcentral lists this long non-coding RNA (1506 nucleotides) under Bemisia tabaci. RNAcentral describes it as "lncRNA ENSSSA1UGG013428". The record is from RNAcentral. Lineage: Eukaryota; Metazoa; Arthropoda; Insecta; Hemiptera; Aleyrodidae.
AUGCGUCUUCCAACUUAUGAACUUUUAUCAAAACCAUGCAGCUUCCUCAUCUCGAUCUGUUUUUGGGCCGCAGCCACUUCGACCGGACACGAUUUCUCAUCAUGCAUCUCCUCCGACUUGCAGCAAUACGGCACGUUCAAAAUCGCAAUCCCCUCCGACAGCCCGAACUUCCUCUCGAUCUUCCGCGCCAACCUCCGAGAACCCCGCUUCUACAACACCUCAUCCCCGAAACCCCUCUUCAUCAUCGCCGCGAGGGAAACAUCCCACGUGCAAGGAGCCAUCGUCUGCGCCAGACGGAGCGGCCUCCAAGUCCGCAUCCGCAGCGGAGGCCACGAUUACGAGGGCCUCUCCUCCACCUCGGAAGACCCUUUCAUCCUCAUCGACCUCUCCAAUCUUCGUUCCGUCCGUGUGGACAUCCGAUCCGAAAGUGCCUGGAUCGAUUCCGGAGCAACCGUGGGCGAUCUGUAUUUCCGGAUCUCGGAGAAGAGUAGUGUCUACGCCUUUCCCGCUGGUAGUUGCUCCACGGUCGGUAUCGGAGGACACCUCAGUUGCGGCGGAUUCGGGUUCAUCUUCAGGAAGUACGGCCUGGCAGCCGACAACGUUCUAGACGCGAAGAUCAUCGAUGCGAAUGGAAGACUUUUCACAAGGGCGACUAUGGGAGAAGAUCUCUUCUGGGCCACCCGUGGAGGUGGCGGUGCCAGCUUCGGAGUCAUCGUCUCCUGGAAGGUGAGGCUAGUUCCCGUACCGGGAAUCGUCACAAGGUUCUCCGUUGCGUACACCUUGGAGGAAGGUGGUGCACGGCUCUUGCACAAGUGGCAGAGCGUUGCUUACAGGCUCCAUGAAGACCUCCACCUGCGCGUUGGGUUGUCGGUUAUAGACAGUGCUGGACUCAGUCCAUUGGGAGGCAAUAAAACCGUGCUGGUCUCAUUCGAGGCUUUGUAUCUCGGGUCGGCGGAUCAGCUCUUGUGGCUCCUCCGAGGGAGCUUCCCCGAAUUGAACGCAUCCCGUGAAAAUUGUACGGAAAUGACUUGGAUCCAAUCCGCGGUCGACCUCGCCGAAAUCGGAGUCCCGUUCGAUGGCCCCCCGAGUGUGCUGCUGAAUCGGACAACGCAACAGACGACGCCUUCCAAAAUGAAAUCCGAUUACGUGAUGGCGGGUCGGCCGAUACCGGAGGCUGGAUUCGGAGGGCUUUUCAGGCUGAUGGUAGAGCAAUCCGCUUUCGCUGUUUUGACUCCGUACGGCGGUAAAAUGGCCAGGAUCCCGAAAUCGAGUAUCCCGUUUCCGCACAGAGGUGGGGUCAACUACGAAAUUCGGUACGGUGUGUUUUGGAAGGAUCUUGGCGAGACAGAGGAGAAGUUGAAUUAUAUGAGGAGGAUCUACGAUGAUAUGGAGGGUUUUGUGUCCAGAGGCCCCAGAUCGGCGUACUUGUGCACCAGGGAUAUUGAUUUGGGCGAAACGAGAGAGGUGGCAUCGCGGAUUAUGAUAAAGCGUCCGUUUGGGGGCUGA